GAUGAACGCUGGCGGCGUGCUUAAUACAUGCAAGUCGAGCGAACAGACGAUGAGCUUGCGGCUCUGUCGUUAGCGGCACGCGGGUGAGUAACACGUGUAUAAUGUACCUAUAUGUCUGGGAUAACUUCGAGAAACCGGAGCUAAUACCGUAUAAUAUCUUGAACCGCAUGGUUCAAUAGUGAGAGACGGUGUUGCGGUCACUUCUAGCUGGAUCUGCGCUGCAUGAGCUAGUUGCUAAGGUCACCGCCUACCAAGGCGACGAUGCGUAGCCGACCUGAGAGGCGGGUAGGCCACACGGGAGCGGGGACGCGGACCAGGCGACUGAGGGAGGCAGCAGUCGGGAAUCGGCCGCAAUGGGCGAGAGCAUGACGGAGUAGCGGCGAGCGAGUUGUGGAGGUGUUGGGAUCGUAAAACCCUGUUAUGAGGGAAGAACAGAUUUGUAAGUAACUGUGCACUGAGUGACGGUACUUAAUCAGAAAGCAACGGCUAACUACGUG
This 497-nucleotide ribosomal RNA is filed under the name uncultured bacterium. RNAcentral describes it as "partial 16S ribosomal RNA". It matches the Rfam family "Bacterial small subunit ribosomal RNA", at positions 28 to 507 of the family's 1533-position model. The record is from RNAcentral.